MicroRNA precursor from Coturnix japonica (Japanese quail), 95 nucleotides. Lineage: Eukaryota; Metazoa; Chordata; Aves; Galliformes; Phasianidae. The record is from Ensembl.
UGUGCGUGUGUGAGCAGGCAUCUUCUCAGCCUACAUGUGGAUUCCUAAAUCUGCAGGCUGGUUAGAUGGUUGUCAUGCAUUCAUCUGAUAACUGC